GAUAGAGUUGACGAAACUUGCCGGUAUUCAGCCGGUCAGUUCAACGGUUUUGCGGCUUUGUACCUUCAAUUUUGGGGGGCAAUGACGUAAAUGUUGCUGUUGAAUUUAUUGCCACGACUGGUGUAUUUACCGGCGGUAUGCAUCGAGAGCUUUGUUGUUGCAUAUUGACAUAUAUUUAGUGGACCAUAUUAACUUUAAUAUGGAAACCUUGGUAUAUUGAAAUAUGUCUUCGAUGAAGUUACCAUAUGUAUAGUAACUUUCGCUUUGCGGUGCAUCCUUUAUAAUUUCGCUAAUUUCAUUUUAUGCGGUUGCCUGCGACUUGUCAUUAAAUGAUCCUAAUUGGUCGAAUUAUAAAUGUGAUGCGUUAAAGUUACAUCUCGAUGUGAACGUCAAUCACCUAUCCGACCCGUCUUGAAACACGGACCAAGGAGUCUAGCAUAUACGCAAGUUAUUGGGUGGUAAACCUAUCGAAAGGCAUAAUGAAAGUAAAGAUUAUCUCGAUAUAAUUGAUAUGUGAUCCGUAUGUCGCAUGUUUCGUACAUCAACAGACGGAGCAACAUAACCCCGUCCCCGUUGCUUGCAAUAGGGCGGAGGUAGAGCGUAUAUGCUGGGACCCGAAAGAUGGUGAACUAUACCUGAGCAGGAUGAAGCCAGAGGAAACUCUGGUGGAGGUCCGAAGCGAUUCUGACGUGCAAAUCGAUCGUCUGACUUUGGUAUA
Molecule: ribosomal RNA, 718 nt
Filed under: Parabronema smithii
Lineage: Eukaryota; Metazoa; Nematoda; Chromadorea; Rhabditida; Habronematidae
Description: partial large subunit ribosomal RNA
Rfam family: Eukaryotic large subunit ribosomal RNA
Source: RNAcentral